AUACGUAAGGAGCAAGCGUUGUCCGGAUUUACUGGGCGUAAAGAGCUCGUAGGCGGCCGAUCAGGUCUCGCGUAAAAUCCCCCGGCUCAACCGGGGAGGGUCGCGGGAAACCGGCCGGCUUGAGGACAGAAAAGGAAAGUGGAAUUCCCGGUGUAGCGGUGAAAUGUGUAGAUAUCGGGAGGAACACCAGUGGUGAAGACGGCUUUCUGGUCUGUUGCUGACGCUGAGGAGCGAAAGCCAGGGGAGCGAACCGGAUUAGAUACCCGGGUAGUCCUGGCCGUAAACGAUGGAUACUAGGUGUGGGAGGUUCGACCCCUUCCGUGCCGCAGCUAACGCAUUAAGUAUCCCGCCUGGGGAGUACGGCCGCAAGGUUGAA
RNAcentral lists this ribosomal RNA (376 nucleotides) under uncultured bacterium. Its description in RNAcentral is "bacterial SSU rRNA". It matches the Rfam family "Bacterial small subunit ribosomal RNA", at positions 523 to 898 of the family's 1533-position model. The record is from RNAcentral.